RNAcentral lists this long non-coding RNA (763 nucleotides) under Brachypodium distachyon (stiff brome). Its description in RNAcentral is "long non-coding RNA (BDIS_LNC000740)". The record is from RNAcentral. Lineage: Eukaryota; Viridiplantae; Streptophyta; Magnoliopsida; Poales; Poaceae.
CACGAACAUUCUUCACGCCUGGGUUUUGGGCGCUAUGGUCGUGCUUCAGUGGACGAUAGGGCCGUCUCUUUCUUGCAAUGAGAGCACACAGGCAGAAGUGCUGGGCGCCUUUUAGAUUACAGUCUUCGUUGACUCUCUCCCUGCCGUACUUCCUCACGUUCUCCGCUUCUGUAAUGCUGCAGUAGUAAUCCAACGACUCGCGUGAGUUUCUCUCCCCUGCGGCCCCGCCUCCCUUUUCCGUCCAGCAAAGAAAAGGCAUAACCCCGUAUUCCCUUCGUAUGUUUCUUCUUUCUUAUUCAACUUCAACCAACCCCGUUCAAAAGAAAAAAAAAACUUCAACCAAAGGAAGCGCAACAGCAAACUAGCGACCGUCCAAAUCAGCAAAUAUGCUUCCGCCGCCCCCGCCCCCUGUCCCAUCAUGCUAGUAAAUUUAAUUUGCCCAAAUCACGAGCCGGAGUGAUUCCUCAUCAUGGCCUUCACACAAGAACAUGGUUCUCGUCGUGGUCUGCAACGGAACUUACAGAGCCGCUCCCCGUAGCAAUGCUCGACCUCGAUCUUGUCCUUGUCGGCGUGAAAUCAAGCGGCAGCAGACCAGUAGAAAGGGGCAUCAGCAAUGCUCGGUCUCUUCUUCUUCUUCAGCGGUAGCAGCCCUGGCGGCGCGCUCAACGUGUUCAUGGCCACUUAGUAAAACACCGCCGUCGAGUUUUCCUAGGCGCCCUUCCUCAUGCAGUCCAACUCCGACAACCCACAGGUCCAUAGCGUC